This is a non-coding RNA of Mycena rebaudengoi, 73 nucleotides long. The record is from the annotation of a GenBank genome assembly. Lineage: Eukaryota; Fungi; Basidiomycota; Agaricomycetes; Agaricales; Mycenaceae.
GGCCGAGUGGCAAAAUGGUUACUGCGUUGCUUUCCGAAGGCAGAGACUGUGGGUUCGAGUCCCACCUUGGUCG